RNAcentral lists this ribosomal RNA (376 nucleotides) under uncultured bacterium. RNAcentral's name for it is "bacterial SSU rRNA". It matches the Rfam family "Bacterial small subunit ribosomal RNA", at positions 28 to 406 of the family's 1533-position model. The record is from RNAcentral.
GACGAACGCUGGCGGCGUGCCUAACACAUGCAAGUCGAGCGGUAAGGCCCUUUCGGGGGUACACGAGCGGCGAACGGGUGAGUAACACGUGGGUGACCUGCCCUCAGCUCUGGGAUAAGCCUGGGAAACCGGGUCUAAUACUGGAUAUGACUCCAUGACGCAUGUUGUGGGGUGGAAAGCCUUGUGCGGCUGAGGAUGGGCCCGCGGCCUAUCAGCUUGUUGGUGGGGGUGAGGCCUACCAAGGCGACGACGGGUAGCCGGCCUGAGAGGAUGAUCAGCCUCACUGGGACUGAGACACGGCCCAGACUCCUACGGGAGGCAGCAGUGGGGAAUAUUGGACAAUGGGCGCAAGCCUGAUCCAGCAUGCCGCGUGGGU